Molecule: long non-coding RNA, 1343 nt
Filed under: Capsella rubella
Lineage: Eukaryota; Viridiplantae; Streptophyta; Magnoliopsida; Brassicales; Brassicaceae
Description: long non-coding RNA (CRUB_LNC001678)
Source: RNAcentral
AAAACAUUUAUGGUUUUAAAAGGUAAAAUUUCGGACUGGAUCGAGACUGUGAAUAGUAGUUACUAACCAAAAAUAACUUCUAAAAUUUACAAAACUUCAAAAUUUCAGAUUUAAUAAGGGUAUUUUUUUGUAAACCCUAACUACUCUUUUAUAAACCCAAAGCGACGAAUAAUAUGUAUUAGUAUAGGUUUAUAAAAUCUAAACCUUAACCAUUGUUUUAUAAACUCAAACCAAAAAAUAAUUGCCUUUAAUUUAUAAAAUCCAAACCCUUAUAUAUCUUCCUUUAUAAACUCAAACCAUUAAAAAAAUUAUUGUGAAUUUUAACCCAAACCCUAACCACUCUUUUAGAAACCAAAAUCAACAUAUAAAAAUAUAUAAUUAUAAAAUAUGAACUAUAAUCCUCAUUUGUAAACCCAAAACGACAUAUAAUUUUGUUUAAUUGCAAAAUGUAAACCCUAAUCAUUUUUUAUAAACUCAAAUCGACAUAUAAUCCUUAAUUAAAAAUCUACUGAUUUCGUUUUCUUAAUUUGCUUUGUUUUUCAUAUUUUAAUUUAUAUUUCUUCAAUAUAAUAAUAUAUUUAAUAUUGGCUAAUAAUCACACCUUUGAUUGGCUAAUUACCGAUUUUAUUCACCUUCUCUUAAUUAGCCAAUCAGGAAUAAGAGGAGUCCACCCCAAGAAUUUAUUUAACUAACAUUCUCAUCAAUUUUGAUCAAGGAAUAAUAAAAUUCAUUCAGUUGUGCUUAAAUUUUCCAAUUUUUUUUUGUUUUCACAUAAAUUACAUGCAUUAAAAUAUUUCAAUUAAAAUAUAUAAACCUAUACUAAUACAUAUUCUCAUCUCGUAUUCAAAAAAUUAUUUUAUAAGGUCAUUAUUUUUUUCAAGUUUUUAUGUUUUUACAUACAAUCAUACAAUGGAAAAUUUACUAAAUAUAUAUAUAUUUUUUUGUAAAUAAUUCUUUUCGAUUUAGGGUAGGAAUAGAUAAAAACGUCAAAUUAUAUGUAGAUACAAUUUUUCGUAAUUAGUUUUUUACUACAUUAGAAAAAAAUAAAUAUAUUUUUUACGCAUGUCCGCAGUUUUGGAACCCUAGUUUGCUUAGAUGCUUAAAUGAAUUGAUCUGGUCACAUAUUUCAUCAAAGUGCAUUUAUUGUUUCAGUCAAAGGUCUUAGGAGAACUCUACAGUUAAGCGUGCUUAUGCCGGAGCAGUCAAAUGAUGGGUGACCUUCUAUGAAGUGGUUGUCGGAACUGUGUGAGUGAGACCAAAAUACAGGAAAAGAUCAUGUGGUGAUUUGUAGGAUCGGUAAACAAGUAUUUAAGCCUCCUGGGCGUAGCAAAUCGAUCGUCGGA